This 492-nucleotide ribosomal RNA is filed under the name uncultured bacterium. Its description in RNAcentral is "partial 16S ribosomal RNA". It matches the Rfam family "Bacterial small subunit ribosomal RNA", at positions 29 to 507 of the family's 1533-position model. The record is from RNAcentral.
AGUGAACGCUGGCGGUAGGCCUAACACAUGCAAGUCGAACGGCAGCACAGUAAGAGCUUGCUCUUACGGGUGGCGAGUGGCGGACGGGUGAGGAAUACAUCGGAAUCUACUUUUUCGUGGGGGAUAACGUAGGGAAACUUACGCUAAUACCGCAUACGACCUACGGGUGAAAGCAGGGGAUCUUCUGACCUUGCGCGAUUGAAUGAGCCGAUGUCGGAUUAGCUAGUUGGCGGGGUAAAGGCCCACCAAGGCGACGAUCCGUAGCUGGUCUGAGAGGAUGAUCAGCCACACUGGAACUGAGACACGGUCCAGACUCCUACGGGAGGCAGCAGUGGGGAAUAUUGGACAAUGGGCGCAAGCGUGAUCCAGCCAUACCGCGUGGGUGAAGAAGGACUUCGGGUUGUAAAGCCCUUUUGUUGGGAAAGAAAAGCAGCAGGUUAAUACCACGCUGUUAUGACGGUACCCAAAGAAUAAGCACCGGCUAACUUCGUG